RNAcentral lists this ribosomal RNA (253 nucleotides) under uncultured bacterium. Its description in RNAcentral is "partial 16S ribosomal RNA". It matches the Rfam family "Bacterial small subunit ribosomal RNA", at positions 524 to 776 of the family's 1533-position model. The record is from RNAcentral.
GACGGAGGGUGCUAGCGUUGUUCGGAAUUAUUGGGCGUAAAGCGCACGUAGGCGGCCCAGCAAGCGGGGAGUGAAAGCCCUCGGCUCAACCGAGGAAGUGCUUUCCGAACUACUGGGCUUGGAUACUGAAGAGGACCGCGGAAUUCCCGGUGUAGAGGUGAAAUUCGUAGAUAUCGGGAGGAACACCAGUGGCGAAGGCGGCGGUCUGGGCAGAUAUCGACGCUGAGGUGCGAAAGCGUGGGGAGCAAACAGG